CCCUACGGGGCGCAGCAGUGGGGAAUAUUGGACAAUGGGGGAAACCCUGAUCCAGCGACGCCGCGUGAGUGAAGAAGUAUUUCGGUAUGUAAAGCUCUAUCAGCAGGGAAGAAAAUGACGGUACCUGACCAAGAAGCCCCGGCUAACUACGUGCCAGCAGCCGCGGUAAUACGUAGGGGGCAAGCGUUAUCCGGAUUUACUGGGUGUAAAGGGGGCGUAGACGGCCGUGCAAGUCUGAUGUGAAAACCCGGGGCUCAACCCCGGGACUGCAUUGGAAACUGCAUGGCUGGAGUGUCGGAGAGGCA
RNAcentral lists this ribosomal RNA (305 nucleotides) under uncultured bacterium. RNAcentral describes it as "bacterial SSU rRNA". It matches the Rfam family "Bacterial small subunit ribosomal RNA", at positions 337 to 659 of the family's 1533-position model. The record is from RNAcentral.